Molecule: long non-coding RNA, 1724 nt
Organism: Amphiprion ocellaris (clown anemonefish)
Lineage: Eukaryota; Metazoa; Chordata; Actinopteri; Pomacentridae
Source: Ensembl
CUAAAAUAUUAUUUAAAUUGACAUCAUUAUUAUAAUAUUUAGGGUCAGACCCUACAGUAUUGAGAUUAAAAAAUCAAAUAUUCUAUAAAAUGUAAAUACACUGAAUUCAUUUGGAUAUAUUUAAGUGAGACUCUACAAUAUUAUUUGACACAAAUCUAUCUAAAUCAAAAUUUUAAUCAUUUUUACUUCAAACAUUUACUGAACUGAUUUAAAUAUUAAAAUCACUCCUUUCUAAUCCUCUGCUGUACGUUCAAACCUGAGGCCUUAAAUAGAAACACACAAGUAUCUGAUUGAAGGAACUUCUGCAGAGUCCUGGUUCCAGAACAUGAUGAUAGAAUUAUAGACAAACUUUAACAAAAGCUGCCUGAGAGUUUACAGGUUUUUAUGUUAAAUUUCUUCAGUAAUUUAAUGAGAGUUAUCAGCAAAAAAUCAAGUGUUCAUUUGAUGAACUUCAUUUCCUAAAACAUCCAGAAUUGGAGCUCAUAUCUUUGGCAGCUGUAAAGUUUCUGCUCCUUCAAAGUUCACAACACAAUGAAUGAAUUCCUAAAACACUCUCAAUGCUGGAGAGCGUUUGUGAUGCUGAAGCAGUGAUCAGUUUUUCUGUUUCUUCUCUGGAGAUGCACGAGGGACGUCUGCAGAGACUGAGAAAGAGUCUCACCACAUCCUGACAUGAGGAAAAAGACUUUAUUAAAGACUACAAUGAGAAAAACUAGCAGACGGCUGCAUUCAAGUUUAGGCUGUUAGAUUGUUCCAGAUAAGACAAGUACAAGAUUCUUCAGAGCCAUUCUACCACGAGCCUGAGAGGAAGAACUCCAACAGCUACUGAAUGUUCCUGUGGUUCCCUCAAGGCUACAGGAGGAGCCCUACGAGGACGAGCUGAUCCACCUGAUGGAGGCCAGUCGCUGUGGUUCAAAGCCAACACCGUCUACGUGGACUUUUACUGGACCACACGGAGGCCUUCAAACCGGACCAACAAGUUCAGCGACUCCCCGACUCGUGGGUCUGAGGACGCCACCAAGCCUCGGUCCAGCCGGCCUCCUGUCUGUGGGUGUUUGAGUGCUGAGAGGAUUACCACAGACCUGACCGUGAACACCGUUGACACCCACCUGAGGGACACGCUGCCUAAGAUCUCAAGGCUGCUUGGUCAUGGUCUUUCUGGUCCUGCUCCAGAACGCCUUCAUCAACUACGUCUUCUUUUGAAGAGGCCCUCAGAUGCUGCAAUCUCUGACCUUAAGGAGGAACUGCUACUUUCACUCUGUAACGAGACGGCAGUUAUUUUAAAGACCCAGCUCCUGUCGGCUUUGAAUGAAAGUUUAAUACCCAUCAAAACAUAAGUACAGACAGUUAAAUCUGAGCUGUCGGUCAGUAUUUCAAACGUCAAGUCUGACCGGGCUGCACUAAAGCACGCUAUGAGUGAAACGGAAACUUCACUCUCCACAUCACCGACGACAUCGUCACACUCCAAAGCAGAGCACCAAUCUGUUGAAUUUUUAAAAGUGGACUAUAAAUGUGAAGAAUGUGAGCAGCAGCAGACUGUGAGCAGUGGAACAGAUGUGAUCAGAAAGAAGUCAUUUUCUUUUUUAUUUUCUUUCUGGUUGACUUGAUGCUGUCAGAUGGAGCUGAUUCUGAUCUUUGAGGAUAAAAAGCUGUUUUUCCUUCACAGACUUUUCAGGAAAUUAUUCUCUCAGGUUUUCUCUGCUAUUUAUAUUUUUAUUAUCUGUGAU